AGGGAAUCUUCGGCAAUGGACGGAAGUCUGACCGAGCAACGCCGCGUGAGUGAAGAAGGUUUUCGGAUCGUAAAGCUCUGUUGUAAGAGAAGAACGAGUGUGAGAGUGGAAAGUUCACACUGUGACGGUAUCUUACCAGAAAGGGACGGCUAACUACGUGCCAGCAGCCGCGGUAAUACGUAGGUCCCGAGCGUUGUCCGGAUUUAUUGGGCGUAAAGCGAGCGCAGGCGGUUAGAUAAGUCUGAAGUUAAAGGCUGUGGCUUAACCAUAGUACGCUUUGGAGACUGUUUAACUUGAGUGCAAGAGGGGAGAGUGGAAUUCCAUGUGUAGCGGUGAAAUGCGUAGAUAUAUGGAGGAACACCGGUGGCGAAAGCGGCUCUCUGGCUCGUAACUGACGCUGAGGCUCGAAAGCGUGGGGAGCAAACAGGAUUAGAUACCCUGGUAGUCCACGCCGUAAACGAUGAGUGCUAGGUGUUAGACCCUUUCCGGGGUUUAGUGCCGUAGCUAACGCAUUAAGCACUCCGCCUGGGGAGUACGACCGCAAGGUUG
RNAcentral lists this ribosomal RNA (549 nucleotides) under uncultured bacterium. RNAcentral's name for it is "bacterial SSU rRNA". It matches the Rfam family "Bacterial small subunit ribosomal RNA", at positions 356 to 896 of the family's 1533-position model. The record is from RNAcentral.